Molecule: ribosomal RNA, 153 nt
Filed under: Pelusios castaneus (West African mud turtle)
Lineage: Eukaryota; Metazoa; Chordata; Testudines; Pelomedusidae
Description: 5.8S ribosomal RNA (ENSPCEG00000002138.1)
Rfam family: 5.8S ribosomal RNA
About the family: 5.8S ribosomal RNA (5.8S rRNA) is a component of the large subunit of the eukaryotic ribosome. It is transcribed by RNA polymerase I as part of the 45S precursor that also contains 18S and 28S rRNA. Functionally, it is thought that 5.8S rRNA may be involved in ribosome translocation.
Source: Rfam by way of RNAcentral
AACUCUUAGUGGUGGAUCACUCGGCUUGUGCGUUGAUGAAGAAUGCAGCUAGCUGCAAGAAUUAAUGUGAAUUGCAAGACCCGUUGAUCAUUGACACUUCGAACACACUUGCGGCCCUGGGUUCAUCCCGGGGCUACGCCUGUCUGAGCGUCG